Molecule: ribosomal RNA, 524 nt
Filed under: uncultured bacterium
Lineage: Bacteria
Description: partial 16S ribosomal RNA
Rfam family: Bacterial small subunit ribosomal RNA
Source: RNAcentral
GACGAACGCUGGCGGCGUGCCUAAUACAUGCAAGUCGAACGCUUCUUUUUCCACCGGAGCUUGCUCCACCGGAAAAAGAGGAGUGGCGAACGGGUGAGUAACACGUGGGUAACCUGCCCAUCAGAAGGGGAUAACACUUGGAAACAGGUGCUAAUACCGUAUAACAAUCAAAACCGCAUGGUUUUGAUUUGAAAGGCGCUUUCGGGUGUCGCUGAUGGAUGGACCCGCGGUGCAUUAGCUAGUUGGUGAGGUAACGGCUCACCAAGGCCACGAUGCAUAGCCGACCUGAGAGGGUGAUCGGCCACAUUGGGACUGAGACACGGCCCAAACUCCUACGGGAGGCAGCAGUAGGGAAUCUUCGGCAAUGGACGAAAGUCUGACCGAGCAACGCCGCGUGAGUGAAGAAGGUUUUCGGAUCGUAAAACUCUGUUGUUAGAGAAGAACAAGGAUGAGAGUAACUGUUCAUCCCUUGACGGUAUCUAACCAGAAAGCCACGGCUAACUACGUGCCAGCCGCCGCGGUAA